Molecule: non-coding RNA, 100 nt
Filed under: Enterovibrio nigricans
Lineage: Bacteria; Pseudomonadati; Pseudomonadota; Gammaproteobacteria; Vibrionales; Vibrionaceae
Description: TPP sequence
Rfam family: TPP riboswitch aptamer (THI element)
About the family: Vitamin B(1) in its active form thiamin pyrophosphate (TPP) is an essential coenzyme that is synthesised by coupling of pyrimidine and thiazole moieties in bacteria.
Source: RNAcentral
CGGAAAUAGUCGGGGAGCCAUUUGGCUGAGAAUGCAUAUUGCAGGACCCGUUGAACCUGAUUCAGUUAACACUGACGUAGGGAACUAUGUGUGCCGCCAA